CUGACUUGAAGAAGGCAUAGUGAAUAGAUCAGAUCACAGAGCCAGGGUUCAGGAAGGUCUCCCUGGGCUACAUGAAUGACCACAAUCCAAGCCGGUGUAAGUCAGUGGCUAGAGAAGAACACAAGUCCUUUCUUGGACAUGGUUCACAGCACGGAGGAUUACUGUAUCUUUUGAGGUUACUGCUUCAAGUAACCUAAGGGCUUCACAGUAAUUCCUGAUUUGGCCCCCAGCCAGCGCUAGGAUUCCCAGAGCUAGAGAAGAACUCUGCCUCCCAAGCACUCAGAUCGUUGGACGCCUCCUAACAGAUGACAGACUCCUCUCCUGGGAUGUUUUCACAACAGGGAGCAACCCAGCCAAUUGGCUAGGGAGAAAGAAGGGUUGAUUUUAAGAGCCAUGGUGGGCAGAAAACUUGCUGACCUGAGUCCUGUUGGGAAAAUUAAGGAAUUUAUGAGCCUAGUACAGAGUAUGAAUGAAGAAACCAACUCAUCCUGGUCAUUCAGGAACCUGAAAAUUUUCCCCAUGGCUCCCAGGUCCACAGACUGAGGCUUCCUUCCACAGCCAAGGGCAUGAGGAUCCUGGAGUUAAUAACACUGGCUUGUUUACAUACAUUACACCAGAUCUUGGAUGAAGGCAUAUCAAGGAGAUUUUGCUUACCAGAUAUCUCAGAUGAGGGAACAUCAGGCCCUCAUCUCUAUAGUUGGUACAGCUUGUCAUGAUCGGAUCCAUUGGAGAGGCCCAGAAAUGGAUUCUUACUGAGUGAGAUCACACAGUAGGACUGGAAAGUUUGUGUUCCAUCUCCAGAUAUGACAAUAUAUGGCUUUAUAUGUGAUACCAAAUAGCAAGAAUAGAAUUGAUUCUGUUUGAUGGUAACCUGAAGUCUUCCCUGGCAAAACAUAUGCAGAAAUAUGAAGUAAUAUUUUUAAAAGUAUAUAAUUCUUUUUGUUUCAAAAUAAGCCUGUGGGAUUUAAGCCUGAAGCUUCUAUGAGGAGGUAAGCUGCCUUCAAAGAUCUUAGCCCUUUUUGUAUCUUUUACGUUUUUCCAGCAGAGAACUCAUACUUGGUGUUACUAUAAAUUCAUAUUUCUUAGUUUGACACAAUGUGUCCUGAAUUCAACUAAGGAAACUGUCCUUUAAUGUUAAUCCUCUUUCUCUUUUUAGUGCAUUUACCAUCCGUUAUAACAUCUCAGUCUCAACAAGGUCGAUUUACUUUCUAGGGAAAUUUUUUCUUAGAUGGCCACAGUUGCCGAUGGAUUAACCCACUCACAUGAUCUGUGUUGGACUUCCCUAGUGGCUCAGGUGGUAAAGAAUCUGCCCACAAUCGGGGGAACCCAGGUUUGAUCCCUGGAUUGGGAAGAUCCCUUGGGGAAGGGAGUGGCAAUUCACUCCAGUAUUCUUGCCUGGAGAAUUCCACGGACAGAGGAGCCUGAUGGGUUACACUUCAUGGGAUCACAAAGAGUUGGGCAUAACUGAACGACUAACACACAUGAUCUGUGCUAAUGGAUAUUCUGGGAGGUAAGUAAUUAGAAAGGUCUUUGACUUCCCUCAAAUACCAGGUGCAGUCCUUGCCUCUUGGACUGAGAAGCCUUCUAGUGAGUCAGAGGAACAGGUUAACUGUACUUAAUCUUAUGUAAUCUUAUGCUUACUCCUUGGAAGGAAAGUUAUGACCAACCUAGAUAGCAUAUUAAAAAGCAGAGACAUUUACUUUGCCAACAAAGGUCCAUCUAGUCAAGGCUAUGGUUCUUCCAGUGGUCAUGUAUGGA
Cervus elaphus (red deer) is the source of this 1758-nucleotide long non-coding RNA. RefSeq lists it as uncharacterized. Lineage: Eukaryota; Metazoa; Chordata; Mammalia; Artiodactyla; Cervidae. The record is from RefSeq and is a predicted model, not a curated record. The transcript has 6 exons.